AUCUUGAAACUGUAAGUCCCUGAAUUCACAGACAAUUCAGAGUAAGGAUGGAGGCAAAGAAGAGGACCUUGGGUUUACUGUUCACGAGAUGACCUCAUAAAGGUGUUCAGUGAUGAAGAGGAGUGGCUGAAGAGAGCUUCAGCAAGCAACCACUAGGAUAAUGUUAAAGAUCUUCAGUGGUAAGAAGACAAGGAGCAAAGAUUUUUAUCUUACUUUGUGAUUUUCAUAAUUAAAAAAGAAAGAAAGGAAAGAGACGAGGUCUUGCCACAUUGCUCAGGCUGGUCUUGAACUCCUGGACUCAAGCAAUUCUUCCACUGUAGCCUCCUGAGGUGGCAGGAUUACAGCAUAAGCCACCAUGCCUGGCCUCAGUCACACUUUGGAAAAGAAGACUAUGGAUCUACAUGUUCAUUUUGUGGUCGAAUUAUAACCAACACGCCACUCUAUCUGCCUCCACUCUGCUUUU
Molecule: long non-coding RNA, 463 nt
Filed under: Homo sapiens (human)
Lineage: Eukaryota; Metazoa; Chordata; Mammalia; Primates; Hominidae
Description: HSALNT0295014
Source: RNAcentral